UAUACAGCGAAACUGCGAAUGGCUCAUUAUAUAAGUUAUAGUUUAUUUGAUAGCACCUUACUACAUGGAUAACCGUGGUAAUUCUAGAGCUAAUACAUGCUACAAGCCCCAACUUCGGAAGGGGUGUAUUUAUUAGAUUCAAAACCAAUGCCCUUCGGGGCUCUUUGGUGAUUCAUGAUAACUGAUCGAAUCGCAUGGCCUUGUGCUGGCGAUGGUUCAUUCAAAUUUCUUCCCUAUCAACUGUCGAUGCGAGGGUCUUGUCCUCGCAUGGUAGCAACGGGUAACGGAGGGUUAGGGCUCGACCCCGGAGAAGGAGCCUGAGAAACGGCUACUACAUCUAAGGAAGGCAGCAGGCGCGCAAAUUACCCAAUCCCAACACGGGGAGGUAGUGACAAUAAAUACUGAUACAGGGCUCUUUUGGGUCUUGUAAUCGGAAUGAGUACAAUUUAAAUCCCUUAACGAGGAACCAGUGGAGGGCAAGUCUGGUGCCAGCAGCCGCGGUAAUACCAGCUCCACUAGCGUAUAUUAAAGUUGUUGUGGUUAAAAAGCUCGUAGUUGAACCUAGUGGUCUACUGUCUUCUGUCCUCACCGAUGGAAGAUUGGUGGGCCACCACCGGUCGUGAUGGUAACGUCACGGCCACGAUUACUUUGAAAAAAUUAGAGUGCUCCAGGCAGGCUUAUGCUCGAAUAGUUCAGCAUGGAAUAAUAAAAUAGGACGUGGGUUCUAUUUUGUUGGUUUCUAGGACCAGCGUAAUGAUGAAUAGGGACAGUCGGGGGCAUCCGUAUUCCUCAGUCAGAGGUGAAAUUCUUGGAUCUGAGGAAGACGAACUACUGCGAAAGCAUUUGCCAAGGAUGUUUUCAUUAAUCAGGAACGAAAGUUAAGGUCGCGAAAACGAUCAGAUACCGUUGUAGUCUUAACUAUAAACUAUGCCGACUAGGGAUUGGAUGCUGUACUUUACCGAACGCAUCCAGCACCUUUCGAGAAAUCAAAGUGC
RNAcentral lists this ribosomal RNA (995 nucleotides) under Cornuvesica acuminata. Its description in RNAcentral is "bacterial SSU rRNA". It matches the Rfam family "Eukaryotic small subunit ribosomal RNA", at positions 75 to 1106 of the family's 1831-position model. Lineage: Eukaryota; Fungi; Ascomycota; Sordariomycetes; Ophiostomatales; Ophiostomataceae. The record is from RNAcentral.